Molecule: transfer RNA, 82 nt
Filed under: Candidatus Peribacteria bacterium
Lineage: Bacteria; Candidatus Peregrinibacteriota; Candidatus Peribacteria
Description: tRNA-Leu
Rfam family: tRNA
About the family: Transfer RNA (tRNA) molecules are approximately 80 nucleotides in length.
Source: RNAcentral
GCCGAGGUGAUGGAACUGGUAGACAUGCUUGGCUUAGGACCAAGUGCUGAACGGCGUGCAGGUUCAAGUCCUGUCCUCGGUA